RNAcentral lists this ribosomal RNA (260 nucleotides) under uncultured bacterium. Its description in RNAcentral is "partial 16S ribosomal RNA". It matches the Rfam family "Bacterial small subunit ribosomal RNA", at positions 526 to 779 of the family's 1533-position model. The record is from RNAcentral.
CGUAGGUCACAAGCGUUGUCCGGAAUUACUGGGUGUAAAGGGAGCGCAGGCGGGAAGACAAGUUGGAAGUGAAAUCUAUGGGGCCCCAACCCAUAAACUAGCUUUCUAAAACUAGUUUUUCUUUGAGUAGUGCAGAGGUAGGCGGAAUUCCCGGUGUAGCGGUGGAAUGCGUAGAUAUCGGGAGGAACACCAGUGGCGAAGGCGGCCUACUGGGCACCAACUGACGCUGAGGCUCGAAAGUGUGGGUAGCAAACAGGAUU